Podarcis lilfordi (Lilford's wall lizard) is the source of this 129-nucleotide non-coding RNA. The record is from the annotation of a GenBank genome assembly. Lineage: Eukaryota; Metazoa; Chordata; Lepidosauria; Squamata; Lacertidae.
GGAAUUUCCCUUAAAAAAAGGGAAAGGUUGACAGCUAUGCAUUUGGCAUGUGUGUAUAUAUAUAUAUAUAUAUAUAUAUAUAUAUAUAUAUACAUGCACACAAGUUCCAUGUUUGAUCCUAAGGUGUGC